UUUAAUUCGAAGCAACGCGAAGAACCUUACCAAAUCUUGACAUCUUUUGACCACUCUAGAGAUAGAGUUUACCUCUUCGGAGGACAAAAUGACAGGUGGUGCAUGGUUGUCGUCAGCGCGUGUCGUGAGAUGUUGGGUUAAGUCCCGCAACGAGCGCAACCUUUGAGCUUAGUUGCCAUCAUUAAGUUGGGCACUCUAAGUUGACUGCCGGUGACAAACCGGAGGAAGGUGGGGAUGACGUCAAAUCAUCAUGCCCCUUAUGAUUUGGGCUACACACGUGCUACAAUGGACAAUACAAAGGGCAGCAAAACCGCGAGGUCAAGCAAAUCCCAUAAAGUUGUUCUCAGUUCGGAUUGUAGUCUGCAACUCGACUACAUGAAGCUGGAAUCGCUAGUAAUCGUAGAUCAGCACGCUA
RNAcentral lists this ribosomal RNA (415 nucleotides) under uncultured bacterium. RNAcentral describes it as "bacterial SSU rRNA". It matches the Rfam family "Bacterial small subunit ribosomal RNA", at positions 945 to 1359 of the family's 1533-position model. The record is from RNAcentral.